Molecule: ribosomal RNA, 506 nt
Filed under: uncultured bacterium
Lineage: Bacteria
Description: partial 16S ribosomal RNA
Source: RNAcentral
GUUACGACUUCACCCCAGUUAUCGGUCCCACCUUCGACGGCUCCCUCCGAUUGGUUGGGUCACCGGCUUCGGGCGUUACUGACUCCCAUGGUGUGACGGGCGGUGUGUACAAGACCCGGGAACGUAUUCACCGCGACAUUCUGAUUCGCGAUUACUAGCGAUUCCAGCUUCAUGUAGUCGAGUUGCAGACUACAAUCCGAACUGAGACGUUAUUUUUGGGAUUUGCUCACAUUCACAUGCUUGCUUCCCUUUGUUUACGCCAUUGUAGCACGUGUGUAGCCCUGGUCAUAAGGGGCAUGAUGAUUUGACGUCAUCCCCACCUUCCUCCAGGUUGUCCCUGGCAGUCUCUCUAGAGUGCCCAUCCGAAAUGCUGGCUACUAAAGAUAGGGGUUGCGCUCGUUGCGGGACUUAACCCAACAUCUCACGACACGAGCUGACGACAACCAUGCACCACCUGUCUCCAGUGCUCCGAAGAGAAAGGACGGUUAAAUCCCGGUCACCGGGAU